This 4253-nucleotide long non-coding RNA is filed under the name Equus asinus (donkey). RNAcentral describes it as "lncRNA (ENSEASG00005034138.1)". Lineage: Eukaryota; Metazoa; Chordata; Mammalia; Perissodactyla; Equidae. The record is from RNAcentral.
GUUUUUUUGGUGUUUUUUUUUUUUUUGCUAAAUGAGUACGGUUGGGUUAAUCUUAGUCAGAUUGGAGUCCAGAUUCAGGAACGAUUAAUAAGGAAGUCAUCAGGAAUCAGGUCAGGUUAACAGACCAAGGUCAGUAACCUGGAGGUACAGUGCUGGGAAAAAGGAUCUCAGGACAGGAACUGAGAUUCAAAACACAGUAAGCCUUAGUCUGAUUGACAGGCCAAAUAAAGGCCCCAGGUAAGCAGUUGGGGGAGGCCGUGCUCACCACUGGUGUGCAGGGGACCUGCCUGGCUGUCUUCCCCAUCGGAUCAUGGCCUGCAUGUUCACAACGCUCCCAGACUGACCGUGUGCUAAGACUAGGAGGGGACGGAGUUGGAUUAGACUUCGUAUGAUUUUAAUUCUUGUGACCUGUCCUAGUCUGGCAGCUCCGGAUCACACAUGUUAUGAAAGGAAGCAGUAAUUUGCCUUUAUAUAUUGUAAACCAUUCUGAGACCAAUUUAGCUUAUCUUAGUGCUGGUAGUCUGAAAGUAUUUUGGCUGAAUUGGGGAAAUGAGCCUGGAAUCGUGUGAAGUUGCCACUAAUAAUUCAGAGGAGGUAAUCAAGACAAUCAAGGAUUGAUGGCUCUGUGUUAAACUGCUUUUCGCUUUGCAUCUGGAUAUGCCAGUGCCGUCAAAGAGAGGUCAUCGAGGAUGCUCUGAAUAACCCAGGCCCGUGUCAUUACUCAGCACUUGUGUCACCUCUUGGUGUUCUGUUGAUUUGAACUUGCUUAGUUGACGUAAAGCAGAGUUUCUCAAACUUAAUGUGCAUCAGAAUGAUGUGGAAGGCUUGUUAAAAACACAGCUUACUGGGCCCCACCCAGUUUCUGAUGCAGUAGGUCUGGGGUUAGAAAUUUGGCUUUCUAACAGAUUCUCAGGUGCUGCUGCUGCUGCUGCUGCUGUGCAGGCCACCCUUUGAGAACCACUCCCUUAAGUGUCCUCAAGUUGUUAUAGAUCAGUAGAUUCUAGUUUCCCAUUUACUUUGUAUGAUUUUUGAGAGAUAAUCAUUUCUUUUAAUUCUUUUAUAUUCACCCUAUUACUUAGGAUUUUGCUUAGCAUAGAGAAUGAACUCUAGAAAUAUUGUUAAUCAGUGAUCUUUUUGACUAGCUCACCCUGCUAGGGUGUGACUGUUGUGGACAUCUUAAAGACCAAGUCAGAUUAGCAAUAACCGAUUAAUGAUAUGGUAAGCAGAUGCCACUGUGGCUGGAUUACCAGAAUUUUCUAUUGAGUGAUCCAGUCCUCCUGACUAGAUUUGCCUUCUAAUUGGUGCAUUCAUCAAUGUUAAUUGAUAGGAGUGAAAUCUUGCAUCCUGCUGUGGGCAAUGAGAGAAUACUUCCAUGACUUCGUGAUAUGGAGACUAAGAUACAUGACGAAACCAAGAAAGAGCCUCCGAAUGUUCUCUCCGAUCAGCAAACAGGAAUGAGUAAAGAAUUUCACUCAUCUUUAUCCUUGGAGCGCCCGUGGGCAAUCCUCCAGGCAGAUCCUAUGUACUUGUUAGGGUUUUUGUCACAUUUUAUAAUUUCCCCCAAACAUGGAGAAUAUGUUGUCUUUGAAAAUAGCUGUGGGGUUUCUGACAUAAUCAGGAUUAAGAGAAAUAGGAGAGUGCCCGAGAAGCUCUCCAGGAUGGAUACACAGGGAAUUGGAGGCCCACGGCUCUACCAGAGCUUUGCACAGCCCCGUCUCUGGGGUUAGAAGGGUGGCAUGAGGGCCAAGGGAACGGGGCCCAGAGCUGUGCACGUUUCUUCUUGUUUAACCCUUACAGCCUACCGGAAGAUACAAUUCCUAUUUUAGAGGUAAGGAAACUGACGCAGGGAGGGUGUGUGACUUGCCUCAGGUCCUCCCCGAUCUGGAGGAGCCAGCGUUUGAACCCGCAUCUGUCUGACUUCAAAGCCUGUGUUCUUUCUUGUCCUGCACAUUACACAAAGAAGGCACUGCAGAUUCAAGCUCCUACGAAAAGGAAUGGAUGUGAAAAGUCAUUUGUUGAUUCCAGAAAUUUUCAGUAGGCACAGAAGCCUCGCCGCGCCUUCUGCCCUUUUCAUUAUCCUGCUCCUCUGCUGUGGGCACCCACCUCUGUGGUCAUUUGAUGUGAGUUAAGUGAAUUCUUUCAUCCAUCGAUUCAUUCAUUGAACAAGUGUUUACCAACAGCCUCCUUUGUGCCAGGGGCACUGUUCUAGGAGCUGGGGAUACAGCCAAGAUGGAAUCUGACUAAGAUCCGUGCCCUCGUGGAACUUAGGUUUGAGGGAAUAAAUGAACGAGUGGUGAAUAGGGAACUCCGUGGGAGAGCUUCAUCUCAGUUCUAACGCUGACUGGCAGCUCUCCGUGAGCUCUCCACACAAAGCCGUCUCAGAGUGUUCUCGGAUGUAGACCCUGCCUUCUCUGCCAGCUCCUCUGUCGGGUUUCAGAGAGCUUUUCCCCUUAUCCUGUUGAAUAGCUGAUAUCUCCCCAUGUACCCAGCGUUUUUCUGUGAAUGUGCACUAAGCAGUCACUGACACAGCCUUUUCUUCCCUUGACCUAUGAGUUCUUCAGGGCAUUCACCUGACGGCUGAUGCCAUCUUCAGCAGGCUGCUUCUACGGAAUCUAUGCGUGCCUCCCUCUAUUGCCCCAUACUGGAAUUGACAGUUGACAUCUCUCUUCUCCUCCACAACAUGGAAACUUCCCUGAGGGCAAGGCCUAUAUUCUGCUCAUUUUUCUGUCCUUAAAAGCCAGCACAGUACCUGGCACAUAAUAUGGCUCCGUAAAUAUUUGUAAAAUGAAUGAAUCAUAUAGUUCUUCACAAUAUCUUCAAAAUUGCUGGUAUCUGGUGUACCAAGACUGCUAUCUAGAUUGCACCUGAAGUUUGUCUAUCUAACAUCCAGACUAUCAUCAAUCAUUUGCUUAAAUGGUUUCAUCUCACCAUUCUGGGAUAAAAAUUAUUAAUUUCAAAUACUGAUAUCUGAGCUGUCUUUGAAAAGAGGAAUUAGACAGUGUGUAUAUUGCUUAUAAAUUUGCUUCGUGGUGGAAAAUAUCCCAAACCGUGCCCAAGCAAUGAUGGACCAGCAUUUUGACAGGGAAUAAACUCAUGUUAGUUGUAUUUUGUUUCCAUUUGUCUGUCCCACAUUGUUUAUGUAUAUUUGAUGGUCCAUUACACUUGACUUGCAAGUAUUUUCUUGGGAGUCAUUUUUAUUCCAAAGAUCUACAUUGCCUACCUAACCUUCACUUAGGAGCAUUCUUACUGACGUCAUCUGCUUUGUUGCAAACUUUUGUGGUCAUCUCUAUAAAUAGCACGAGAAUAAUUCCAAGGUUUUUUAUCGGAUGCUUAAUUUUAAAAUUUUCUUAUAGACCACUAAUUGGGAUGGAGGGUAAGAAGGUAGGAAGAGUUUACUUGCAGGAGAUUCAGACUCAGUUAAUAUCGAUGUGUCUAGUAGUGUGCUAGAUGCAUUCACACAUCAUUUAAGCUUUAAAUGCCUAUUGAGCUGCAUUCUGUUACUCUAAAAUCAAGGAAAGUGAGGCUCAAAUAAGUUGACACUUGCCCAGGGUCACACCGAUGACGGAAUGGGGAUACAAACCAAAACUCUUUAUUCAAGCCCUGGAAAUAUCUGCUCUGAAAAGGGGUAACUUAAAAAUUAAAAGUAUCCCCUAUUUGAAAAUGAAAACAGCUAAUAAAUACAUGUAUGUGUUUGUUGUUUUAAUAUUAUUGUUAAUUUUGUCCUCCCAGAUUGGUCAAGAUUAAAGCAAUUGACAAGAAUGUGGGCAAAUGGGCAUUCUUGUUCACUAUUGGCAGGAGGGGAAAUUGGUACAACCUUUUUAGAAGGCAAUAUGUAUCAAAUUUGUCAAUAUGUAUCAAACACUUAAAUUAUGAUACACUUUUACUCAGCAAUUUGUUUAGGAAUUUAUCCUAAUGAAUAAAAAUUUCACAGGUAUGUAAACGUGAGCACAAAGAUGUACUUUAUGAUGUUUAUGAUAUUAAAAUAUUGGAAACAGCCUAAAUAUCCUUCAAUAGAAGAUGAGUUAAAUGAAUGAUGGCUCAUAUAUACAGUAGAGGUGUAUGCAACUGUCAUUAAAGACCAUUUAGAUCUGUGUUUAUUGCUAUGGAAAUUUGUCCUUGAAAUAUGGAAUGAAAAAGCAGACUACAGAAUGGCAUGUUUAAUAUGGGUCCAUUUAUAACCUUGGAUAUUUUUCAAUAAUAUAUGUUUCAUAGAGAGAUUUUUGCUAAAAGGUUAAUGAUGGUUUUUUCUGGGC